UUAUUUUUCCUUUUUUCUCCCCAAAGCCCCCCGGUACAUAGUUGUAUAUUCUUCGUUGUGGGUCCUUCUAGUUGUGGCAUGUGGGAUGCUGCCUCAGCGUGGUUUGAUGAGCUGUGCCAUGUCCGCGCCCAGGAUUCGAACCAACGAAACACUGGGCCGCCUGCAGCAGAGCGCGCGAACUUAACCACUCGACCACGGGGCCAGCCCCAGAAAAGCGUUAACUUUUAAAAUGUUGGCUGGCGAUCAACUUAGUUGGACUCAAAAAAAUGUCUCUGGGGCUGCAGCUCAAAUCAGUUCAGGUCUUUUACCCUCCAUGCAUAUGUGGUUCAUGGGUCUUCCGAAAACUGGGGUGACAUUUAUGAGCAGAAUUUGAGGGUCUUCCUUUCUGGUUCUGUCCAGUUUUGGACUCCUCGCCUCUACUUUGCAGUGGCUGUGAUUGUUCCAAACCCUGUCCUCUGGUCCUUCAGACCAGAAAGUGUUGUUUUCCACAGGACAGUAAGUUGUUCCAUGCAACAGUGACGUGACCUGUUCUCAGGAGACAAGCCACAAACACAGGAACCUUUCUCCAUGCCUUUUCCUUCAUCCAAUGUCCCUUCUCUCUUCAGAGCCUUCAGGAAGGUCGUUGUGUCCACUUGUUUGUGAUCUUUUUGUUUCGUAUUUCCUGCAGAAUGUUAGUUGUUCCCUGUGUGAAGAUGGAUCCAGUAGGCACUCACUUGGCCACAGCACAGGCUGAACUCCUUCCUCUCCUCCGGGAACGGUUCCCCUGGCAUUGCACUGCGCUGCCCUACUCUGGAAGCUGGACACUCUUGCCUCUCCAGAGUCUCCUGCAAGUUCCAGUCUGUUCACCUGAAAGAUACGGGAAUCCCAGCUUGUCCUGAAUCCCAUGCAGGGCUUCAGGGAAGCUGGCCGGUGAUCUUUGCUUAUCCUCCAACUCCCCCUUCUGGAUCUGUAUUUCUCUAGCUUUUCCCACAAUUAUAUAAGGCUCAUUCCUAAAAUAAAUUCCCUCUUCACAGUGGUUCUGCCUCCUUAACUGAGCCUUGCCUAACACAGCAGCAUUUGAGUUCCAUCAAUAAAGACAAUGGCAACCCGAAGGAUUUAUGUGCAAGGCCUUCUGUAGUGCUCAGCAGGGAGAGAACCACUCCUCCCCUUGGCCGGCCUUGCUCCUAGUCCCAGCUGGCCUGAGCUCCAAUCUCGGAACGCUCCAUCAAGAUCCAAUGUCAGGCUCCUGAGCUCCAUUAAGGCAACUGCUUUAAGCUGGAAACACUAUCUACUGAAAUCCGACUACAGAUGGGCCGCCCCAGGAAGGACCACAACUUCUACUCACAAGUCAGAGGCAAAGGGGCUAAUGGUGACCAGUACUGGUCCUGAGGAGAAGGACGCCAUCACUGUGAAACGCUGCUGAGCUUGAUGACACUGCUGUCUGCCACUUUGCUCAGAGGCCAAAACCUGAGCUCUUCUUCUUUCUCUUUCUCAACCAGCAGACAACGCCGGUCGUUGCCACCAGGGAGCACUGUUUACCCUGUAACCAUCUGCGGGCCGCAAGUGGGUUAGCGAGCAGAGCUGUUUCUCGCAGAAAUUAAUGGAAUCAGCAUUACAUUGUUCCAAGCAUCAAAACAAGACGCUUUCGGCAGUUUUCCAUCUGAGACUCAAUCCUUUUUUAACAGGCCAUCGGAGAGCUUUAAGAGGGGUCCAGAACAGUGUGGUGGGUCUUCCUGCGCAGCUCCUUUAGCGACUUGGAUUGUCUGAACCUGAGAAAGGUGGUUGAAGACAGCUAGUCCUGUGUUAAAGUGGUCGGUGUCCCUCCUUCCCCGAACUGGCUGGAUUUUAAUGAAUCACAAGCAAUGUCAUAACUUAGGAUGCUGAGCCCGGUCGGCCAGAGGGGCCUUAAAAGGCAGAUUAAUAUUACAACUCAAGUGCUGUCUUGCAUCCCGUGAGUUUGAAUUAUUUCCUAUUAAAAAUGCAGUGCUUAGGUUCUAAUGAGUAAUGACUAUAAAACUGAGGGAAAACCCCCGAAGACUUAGAAGUGGCGUGGAUGAAAUCAAUAUAAUAGUUGAAUCCACCCCAACUCCAUACCACCGACUUUGGAGUUAGUUUAAUCUCUUUCUUCUGGCUGGCGGUUAUGGGGACUGACCAGGCGUAACAAUUUCUGUUCCUGUUCAUGGGCUGUCCCAUGUUACUGUCUUGUUCUUUCUUCCGCAAAGACUCUGCCCUCCUGUCUUUCUUUCCCGGCGUCACUAUUAAUCUCCCACCAUCCCUGAAGCCUGUGAUCAAAGAUCACUUCCUCGAAGGCAUCAUUUAGAAUUUACUCAACAAUAUUUAUCGAGUGCCAGGUCUGUUCUGGGUCUGUCCUGGGUUCUGGGAAGUGGCCAUGGAAAGAAAGACCUUGCUGAGGGGGAACAUUUGAGAGGAGAGGGAAAUUAUAAGAGAACUUCAGAGAGAACUAGCAAGCGCAAAGUCCGUGAGGGAGAAUGAGCAGAGCCUGUACAGCGAACAGUAGUAAGGUGAGUGUAGAUGGAGUGUAGGUCGGCUGUGACACUGUUCUGAUCUUCUCUGGGCUCCUACAUUUAAUUUAUGCCUGUUUUCUGAGGUUUAUUCAAGAUAUUUGUGCAUGCGUCUUAUCUUCUUGAUUACACUCUCUGAGGAGAGGGCCCCCAGCCCAGUGCUCACCCACAG
Molecule: long non-coding RNA, 2673 nt
Organism: Equus asinus (donkey)
Lineage: Eukaryota; Metazoa; Chordata; Mammalia; Perissodactyla; Equidae
Source: Ensembl